Molecule: long non-coding RNA, 446 nt
Filed under: Ananas comosus (pineapple)
Lineage: Eukaryota; Viridiplantae; Streptophyta; Magnoliopsida; Poales; Bromeliaceae
Description: long non-coding RNA (ACOM_LNC008367)
Source: RNAcentral
UAUAUAUAUAUAUAUAUAUAUAUAUUUUAGAGAUAGGUAGCACGCUACCCGCUUCGUUUAUUUUAUUUAGAAAUAAACUUAGCUGAAAAAUGUGAAUCAACUAGGAUUCGAACUUGGAUCUCGGACACCAAUCACCAAACCCUUUGCCACUUGCUCUAGGGACGGUAUUAGAAAAAUGUAAACGAGGGUGGUGUAGCAUUGAAAGUAGAGUGCUUUCUUAUAUGUAAGAGGUGUAGAAUUUAAUUUAAUAAUAAUUAUCAUGUUUGAAAUAAAAAUUAUUUAAAUUUACAUAUAUAUAUAUAUAUUUAAAGUUAAUUUAGAUUAAAUUAUAAUCAUAAAUUUAGAUUUGAAAUAUAAAUUUAGGUAUGAUUGCUUUUUGUAUGAAGAUAAAGAGGACGUUAAUAUAUUUUGCGGGGGAUUAAAUUGUUUAUUGUAUUUUUCGUUUA